UUGACCUCGGAUCAGGUAGGGAUACCCGCUGAACUUAAGCAUAUCAAUAAGCGGAGGAAAAGAAACCAACAGGGAUUGCUCUAGUAACGGCGAGUGAAGCAGCAAUAGCUCAAAUUUGAAAUCUGGCGUCUUCGGCGUCCGAGUUGUAAUUUGUAGAGGAUGCUUCUGGGCAGCCACCGACCUAAGUUCCUUGGAACAGGACGUCAUAGAGGGUGAGAAUCCCGUAUGCGGUCGGAAAGGCACCCUACACGUAGCUCCUUCGACGAGUCGAGUUGUUUGGGAAUGCAGCUCUAAAUGGGAGGUAAAUUUCUUCUAAAGCUAAAUAUUGGCCAGAGACCGAUAGCGCACAAGUAGAGUGAUCGAAAGAUGAAAAGCACUUUGGAAAGAGAGUUAAAAAGCACGUGAAAUUGUUGAAAGGGAAGGGAUUGCAACCAGACUUGCUCGCGGUGUUCCGCCGGUCUUCUGACCGGUUCACUCGCCGCGUUGCAGGCCAGCAUCGUCUGGUGCCGCUGGAUAAGACUGGAGGAAUGUAGCUCCCUCGGGAGUGUUAUAGCCUCUAGUGAUGCAGCGAGCGCCGGG
RNAcentral lists this ribosomal RNA (579 nucleotides) under Cladosporium sphaerospermum. Its description in RNAcentral is "eukaryotic LSU rRNA". It matches the Rfam family "Eukaryotic large subunit ribosomal RNA", at positions 1 to 500 of the family's 3401-position model. The record is from RNAcentral. Lineage: Eukaryota; Fungi; Ascomycota; Dothideomycetes; Cladosporiales; Cladosporiaceae.